Molecule: unclassified non-coding RNA, 414 nt
Filed under: fungal sp.
Lineage: Eukaryota; Fungi
Description: partial internal transcribed spacer region
Rfam family: Eukaryotic small subunit ribosomal RNA (bases 1-46)
Source: RNAcentral
AAGUCGUAACAAGGUUUCCGUAGGUGAACCUGCGGAAGGAUCAUUAACACGUACGAAAGUACAACCACCAAAAUUGUGAACUGUUUUAUCUCCCCGGGAUACUUGACCGUAAAAAAUUCAGGACAAAGGCUGAACUCUUUGGAAAUGGGCGAUGUGCUGUAAAAGGCAUGUCGUAGCAUGCGUCCUGAAACAUGCUGGUAUGUUCUGGUAUUGCAUUCGUCACCCUUCUGGAUGAUGAUUGUAAGCCUCGCGACUACCAACGGUCUCUUCCGGAUAUGAAAUUUACCAUAUGCCAAAUUUACUUGAAUAACCCUUUGAUUGCAUUUGACUGAUGUUAUAGCUCAUAUGAAAAUAUGAGUGACUAGAUUUAAUUCUAACUAAGCACAACUCUUAGCAAUGGAUAUCUAGGUUCUC